GGGGAACAUAAAGUUACCCGCAAUGGGCACCAGUGGUGAGGCAGGAGGCUUGAGUUCAGGAAUUCUGGGCUGUCAUGCACUGUGUCCAAGCCUAUGUCUGCACUAAGUUUGGCAUCAAUAUGGUGACCUUCCAGAGUGGGGUGACCACCAGGUUGCCUAAGGAGAGGUGAACCAGCCCAGGUCAGAAAGGAAACAAGUCAAAACUUCCAUGCUGAUUAGCGAGAUUGGGCCUGUGAAUAGCCACUGCACUCCAGGCUGGGCAACAUAGUGAGACCCCACCU
RNAcentral lists this signal recognition particle RNA (281 nucleotides) under Microcebus murinus (gray mouse lemur). Its description in RNAcentral is "Metazoan signal recognition particle RNA (ENSMICG00000029895.2)". It matches the Rfam family "Metazoan signal recognition particle RNA". From Rfam's summary of the family: The signal recognition particle (SRP) is a universally conserved ribonucleoprotein. It is involved in the co-translational targeting of proteins to membranes. The eukaryotic SRP consists of a 300-nucleotide 7S RNA and six proteins: SRPs 72, 68, 54, 19, 14, and 9. Lineage: Eukaryota; Metazoa; Chordata; Mammalia; Primates; Cheirogaleidae. The record is from RNAcentral.